RNAcentral lists this ribosomal RNA (399 nucleotides) under Pseudomonas sp. HPC 1041. Its description in RNAcentral is "bacterial SSU rRNA". It matches the Rfam family "Bacterial small subunit ribosomal RNA", at positions 32 to 431 of the family's 1533-position model. Lineage: Bacteria; Pseudomonadati; Pseudomonadota; Gammaproteobacteria; Pseudomonadales; Pseudomonadaceae. The record is from RNAcentral.
AAAACGCUGGCGGCAGGCCUAGCACAUGCAAGUCGAGCGGCAGCGGGUCCUUCGGGAUGCCGGCGAGCGGCGGACGGGUGAGUAAUGCCUAGGAAUCUGCCUGGUAGUGGGGGAUAACUCGGGGAAACUCGAGCUAAUACCGCAUACGUCCUACGGGAGAAAGCGGGGGAUCUUCGGACCUCGCGCUACCAGAUGAGCCUAGGUCGGAUUAGCUAGUUGGUGAGGUAAAGGCUCACCAAGGCGACGAUCCGUAGCUGGUCUGAGAGGAUGAUCAGCCACACUGGAACUGAGACACGGUCCAGACUCCUACGGGAGGCAGCAGUGGGGAAUAUUGGACAAUGGGCGAAAGCCUGAUCCAGCCAUGCCGCGUGUGGGAAGAAGGUCUCCCGAUUGAGAACU